Molecule: ribosomal RNA, 525 nt
Filed under: uncultured bacterium
Lineage: Bacteria
Description: bacterial SSU rRNA
Rfam family: Bacterial small subunit ribosomal RNA
Source: RNAcentral
CGAACGCUGGCGGCGUGCCUAAUACAUGCAAGUCGAGCGCGGGAAGCGGACAAUCACCCUUCGGGGUGUGCGUCCGUGGAACGAGCGGCGGAUGGGUGAGUAUCACGUGGGCAACCUGCCUGUAAGAUUGGGAUAACUCGCGGAAACGUGAGCCAAUACCGAAUGAAGUCUUUCACCGCCUGGUGAAAGGAUGAAAGAUGGCUCUUGAGCUAUCACUUACAGAUGGGCCCGCGGCGCAUUAGCUAGUUGGUGGGGUAAAGGCCUACCAAGGCGACGAUGCGUAGCCGACCUGAGAGGGUGAUCGGCCACACUGGGACUGAGACACGGCCCAGACUCCUACGGGAGGCAGCAGUAGGGAAUCUUCCGCAAUGGACGAAAGUCUGACGGAGCAACGCCGCGUGAGUUGAUGAAGGUCUUCGGAUCGUAAAACUCUGUUGUCAGGGAAGAACAAGUUGUGUUCUAACAGGACAUGACCUUGACGGUACCUGACCAGAAAGCCCCGGCUAACUACGUGCCAGCCGCAGC